This 29-nucleotide non-coding RNA is filed under the name Rattus norvegicus (Norway rat). The record is from RNAcentral. Lineage: Eukaryota; Metazoa; Chordata; Mammalia; Rodentia; Muridae.
CAAAUAUAUUGUAUUGCUUCCACAAUUAC